CAGAACAGAACAGGAAGUUAGGAACUUGUAACAGGAAGUUAAGAACUUCUAACAGGAACUGAGGAAAUUUUUUUGGGCUUUUAGCAACAUUGCAAAUUCCCUCAAGGAAUUUGCAAGGGAGUUUUUUAAAUUGCAAAAGUAAUGAGGAAAAUUGCAAUCAAUUUAGAAACUCAAAAGAGGAACGCUUCACGUAGUUUACCUGUAA
This is a non-coding RNA of Paramuricea clavata, 205 nucleotides long. Lineage: Eukaryota; Metazoa; Cnidaria; Anthozoa; Malacalcyonacea; Plexauridae. The record is from the annotation of a GenBank genome assembly.